RNAcentral lists this long non-coding RNA (4367 nucleotides) under Canis lupus familiaris (dog). RNAcentral's name for it is "lncRNA (ENSCAFG00845010782.1)". The record is from RNAcentral. Lineage: Eukaryota; Metazoa; Chordata; Mammalia; Carnivora; Canidae.
ACUGUCUUUCUGUGACCCUUUCAUAGGGCACUGCAGGAUGGAUUAAAGGUGGCAAUUUACUGAUAACUGCAGAUGUCUCUACUUUGUUCUGAAGUCUAAGUCAUGAGGCGAUUUGAUUUACUUUAUAGAAGUUGGAUUUUGAAGAUAUAAUGAAAAAUUUUUUGAUACUUAGUAGUACAAAAAAAGCACCAGCAACUGAUAAAACUGCUUUUUUGUGCACUACCCAACUGGUUCCGAUAUGAUCUUUUAUGGUGAACUCAGAAAUAGGUGUUCUUAAUGGAAACCUGUCAGACCCUUAACUAACUAUAGCGGUGCUAAGGAGCACUACUAUAAUAAAGCCACCAUUAUUUUUUAUGAAACAUCUGAAUACAUUAAAAAAAAAAAAAAGGCUGUUGUGAGGGCAUUAUUUUGAGGUGAUGUUUAAAAAGUUAACAUCAAAUCAAAUUGUAAAUUAGUUUAAAUAUAUUGCCUUAAGGACCUACUAAAGAAUGUGCCACCAGACUUUAAGUGAUAGUUGCAAUAUCCUUGUCUGAAACAAAAAUCAAUGUUGACUUAAACAUUUUCUUUAACAGUUGUCUUUUUUUUUUUUAAUCCGAGCUUUUGCUUUUUUUCCAUUGAGGAAGUCUUUUACCUUCCCUACUCACUGAGAAGUAUUGACUUCGUGGUACACAUUCUAAAGCAUUUCUGAUUUGAAUAUUUUUGUACAUUUUUAUCAAUUAUUAAACCUUCUCUUCUAGCGUGUACUAGUAUUUAUUUCUACUUAAACUGCUCAGCUCUAAAAAAUUGUAUGAUCAUUUAAAGAUACUAAAUCCUUGGAAUUUUACUUCAUCUAACCCACAUAGCUAGGUUACUUUUCCUUUUAAUAUUUAAGAAUAUUACAAGUCAGUACAUUUCAGGCCCCUGUAAUUUGUUUUUGAUCUACAAAUUUCCUAUAGAAAACUUUAGAGAGGCAAUGUUUUGAAGCUAGAAUACUCUUUACAUGCUAACUUUUUGAAGGUUGGUAAUGUAAUUUAUACUAUUUUCCUUCAGUGCAGGAGAUUUUUUUAAUAAGUAAAUUUUAGCAUAUAGUCUUUAGCAUUAGGUAUUUUUUUAUUUUGGACACUUCGAGCAAUCCUAUUUCAAGUUGGGAUUUAGAAGAACAAAAAGUUCAUUUUAUUUGAGAAGUUCAGAUGACCAGGACUACUCUUUCCCAUCUCUGCCCACUGUUUCAAUUAAAUCUAGCAUCCACUUUAUCUUUAAACUUUUCUCUGCCAAAUCAUUUUUCUGCUGUGAAAAACUGACAUGACUGUGGAAAAUGAGAAUCACUAUCCUUAGAAGAUGUGAAAUAAUCAAGUUUCUUGCUUGAGGUUUAGUCUUUUAUUGUAUAUUAGAACCAAAAUAACAACUUUGGCAACAGGGAGUUUGUCUAGAUUUACUUUUCAGAGGUCUCAUAAUGAUAGUUAAUAUUGCUAAUCAUGUCAAACACUUGACAUGGAAGUCAGUGGCAAAAUCUUCAAAAUGCACAUAUGAUAUUGGCAGAAAUACUAGUGGUGUUUCAUAAGAGAAUUUAGAAUCUGUAAAAUUUUGUUUUAAUUCCAUGAAUGAUUUUUUUAAGUGCGACCUUAAAGUUUUAAUUUUUCUAUUUAAAUAAAAAGUUAUUGAUAUGUUUUAGUAUGUCCUCAAAAUAGAUUUCUGUAUUUCUUAGAGACACUGUCUUACCACCUCAAAUCCCUACAAUACAAAUUCAAGUUUCUCUGUAGUUCAUCCAUGAAAAUAUUUGACCUAAAAACAAAACUGAUAAAUGGCAACUUAAAAUACAACAUUGUUAUUAUAAAAGAUGUAAUUGAAGUGACUAUAAUCCUGUCUACCUUCAAUGAUCCCAUCAAAUGGGAUUUAGUUACCAAAAGGUACUGUACUGUGAAGGCACAGGUGAUGGGAAGAUUUUGUUAUAGCAAGAGCUCUAUGUGAAUAUUUUUAACCUCUUAGGUCAGGUUUCUAAAUCUUCAGUCUCGUAAAAGCUGAAAUGUCUUAGAAUACUGAUUCUGUUAGAGUUAAACAGAGUUGUUCAAAAAGGAGUCUGAACAAAUGUGUUCAAACAGGAAAGUAUGUUUAUUUUCAGAUAAGGGGAAUUUACAUUUCAGUUAAGCAUCAGACUCUUUGGUAAAUGUUGAGGGUUUUCUUCCCUCUGUAUCAUUAAGUUAUUGGAUCACAUUUACUAAUACAUUUAAUAUCAUAAAAGUCAAAAUCAGAAUCUCUAAUAUUUGAUGUUUUCGUUUUCUCCCAGUCCAGUAAUUCCUGUAUGGGAAAACUGAAUUUGUGUGAAAAGUUAGUCAAGUAUGAAUUCUUUGCACUUUCCCAAAUUUACUUAAAUUACUUAAUGCUUUUAAAUAAAAGCAACGGUCUUUAUUUAUUUAUUUAUUUAUUUAUUUAUUUAUUUAUUUAUUUAUUUAUUUUUCUUAACACAUCAAGGGUAUGUCAUUAUUACUCAAAGCAGCUUUGGCAUAUAUUCCUGUCUUUUAACAAUAAAAACUUCAUUUUUAUGCCUCCCAGUAAAUACGAAAAUGGUCAAAAUGUCACAGCUUGACUUUUGCUCAUUGGGCCUCCUUUUAUACAGCUAUAAGAUAAAAAUGGCCUAGAAAAAGGCCUUUAAUUCAUAGGGUAGAGUGAAGAAACUAUAAAAACUGAGACAUCUCUGUACGUUCUUUUAGAAAGUUCAUAAUUUUCUUUACCAAAGGGCUUGUAUUGUGUUAAGAAACAUUUGUCUAGAUGAUCCUGGCAGCCACUUUUCUCCUCUUUGCAUCCAGAAAGGGGUAGACCUAGAAAGUUUUUUUUUUUUUUUUUUAAAGCUUAGAUGCUAUUUGAGAGAGAACGGUUUCUAAUCAGUACCCAGGGAAGAGUUAUGAAUGCUAUAAAUUUAUAGAAUAUUUAAGAAUAUUAUGUAAUUUAAAUGUAAAUUACAAAACUAAGGAACCAAAUAAACAUUUCCAAAAGCAAAAUGAGGCAAAGCACAUUAAUUCCUUGUAUCUUAAAAAUCAGACUUUUCUUUUCCCUUGGGUACGUGUCUCUCUCAGUAUCAGAUACAAUUUUAAUUCUUUUACAUUCUCUAAGUAAAGCCACUCAUUUUACAUAAAGGAAAAGCAAAGUGUCAUGAGUAAUUUUUCAUGGAAUUGUGUUCUACAUAGGACUUAAAAUUUUAUGGUUUUUGGUAAUGGUAUAUACAAGUCUAAUAAUUCUUUUUUAUUAAAUCUUACCUUGCUCUUAAGUUUUUCAGUUGUUUUAACUUAAAUGGUGGUCAGGUUCCUUGGAAACAGGAAUUGGUUUCAUUUACUGCUAUAUUCUGUGGACUAGAACGGUGCCUGGCACAUUGUAGGCAUUUAUUGAGUGAAUGUAAAAUGCUGGUUGACAAGAUACACUCAUCCACAGUACACAGCAUGAUCGCAGUAGUGUACUAACCCACAACUAAAGCCGUUCUGGUGGCUGUGUCUUAACAGCUUUUGCUACAAAAAUUUCCAAAAGCUUGUUAGAACGUGUAACCAUGUGGUUUCUGAGUAGGAAAGGAAAUACCUUAUGAUUUGAAAUGUAGUUUUUCAUAUUCAUGAAUUAAGAUAUAGUAGUUUAAAAGUAGUAACUUCUCUUUGAAGAGCUAGCUUUUAGCUAGAUCAGAGAUAGUCUUUAAAGGCCAUGCUUGGAAAGAACAGCAAAAUUGCCAAAUUCUAAAUUGAGAACUAAUGAUUUCAGGCUAUUUCCAACAAAGGAUGAGGUAUGGGAAUUGAGAAGAUUCUGUUCCCAAGUACCUCACCAUGCCCCUCAGUCCUCCAUUUAGCCUGUCUCCCUGCCUCAGUUCCUUAAUUGUAGAUUUUCUGUGUUUUUAAAACUUGCUAUAUAAAAACAGCUUUUGUGACUCAAUAGGAUCUAUGCUUCAAAAGCCAUCUCAUUAUUGUUCAUGAUUGGUAAUUGCCCCAGGAGUAACGGCCUAGGUUGACGUGUGCAUUUCAGGGGAACUAGCCAACCCCCCCCCCGCCCAGCCCAGUUUUCAUUCAUAGACUAAAACAGUGGUUGCCUAAUGAGAUCAUGAUCCAACUAAGCCAUUUCUUGAGGCCCUUGUAUGCUGUUCCUCAGGGUCUCUAAAAUGUGCGAUUUAUAAAUAGUCCUUUAUUUUGGUUCUGCCUGAAACUUGUGGUGGGUUUGUUCUCUUGCCUGCCUCUCUACAACUAAACUGAAGAUUUGUUCUGAAAGGUGAGUAAUAAGGGGGUAGAAACAGGUUUCUAUUUUCUGUGUUUGUAAUUACCAGAUUUUCUCUUCUGUUUAUAUAUUGUUCUGAUGUAAAGAACCUAAUAGUUAUAUAAAAUUAGACCUUUUGUAAAUAAAUAUAAUUUAUUAGAAAAAAA